GACGAACGCUGGCGGCGUGCUUAACACAUGCUAGUCGAACGGAAAGGCCCUGCUUUUGUGGGGUGCUCGAGUGGCGAACGGGUGAGUAACACGUGAGUAACCUGCCCUUGACUUUGGGGUAACUUCAGGAAACUGGGGCUAAUACCGGAUAGGAGCUCCUGCUGCAUGGUGGGGGUUGGAAAGUUUCGGCGGUUGGGGAUGGACUCGCGGCUUAUCAGCUUGUUGGUGGGGUAGUGGCUUACCAAGGCUUUGACGGGUAGCCGGCCUGAGAGGGUGACCGGCCACAUUGGGACUGAGAUACGGCCCAGACUCCUACGGGAGGCAGCAGUGGGGAAUAUUGCACAAUGGGCGGAAGCCUGAUGCAGCAACGCCGCGUGCGGGAUGACGGCCUUCGGGUUGUAAACCGCUUUCGCCUGUGACGAAGCGUGAGUGACGGUAAUGGGUAAAGAAGCACCGGCUAACUACGUG
Molecule: ribosomal RNA, 468 nt
Filed under: uncultured bacterium
Lineage: Bacteria
Description: partial 16S ribosomal RNA
Rfam family: Bacterial small subunit ribosomal RNA
Source: RNAcentral